GGCUCCGUAGCUUGAAGGAAAGAAGCACCUGUCUAGCGAAUUGGAAGUCAUGGGUUCGAUUCCCACCGGAGCAC
Molecule: non-coding RNA, 74 nt
Organism: Aedes albopictus (Asian tiger mosquito)
Lineage: Eukaryota; Metazoa; Arthropoda; Insecta; Diptera; Culicidae
Source: Rfam